AGAAUUGAGUAGAGAAAAAGAAAAACAAAACUUUAAGCUGAUCCUUCCGAUAUUAGUGAAAAUAAGGUUGACAAAUUGGGUUGAUAUUUGUGCUGCUAUGAGCCAGUUGACUUCAACUUCACUGUAGCGAUGAACCGAGGAAGCGGUAAAAUCAAUUUAAAAAAACCUUUGCUAUAAAAAUGAAGAAAAAUAAACAAAAUACCUACUUCCUUCCAUUCAUGACCGAAUGAAUCCUCUACAUCCUUCAAUCUUCAAUCUAUGGUUGAAUGACAACACAUAUGUUGAAAUCAAUCUACAAAAAAAAUACAAAGUUGAAACAAUAAAGGGUCGUUAUUCACAACUUUUGAACAAUCAUCAGGGCUCUCAUUUAACAAAGCCUUUCGUUUAGAUCUGUCCAUGUAUAUAUGUAUUCUUGCCUGAUUUAUCAUAUUAGAAAGAAGGAACACUUCGAUCUUUGUAUGUUAUAAAAGGGAAUAAAAAGAACUGACUUCUCUGAUGCAACUACACUACAAGAAAAAGCAUCUGUAGGGACCAUAGCUAUAGGGACGACAAAAGGCGUUUCUAUAUAUUAUCUAUAGAGACGACAUGUCGUCUCUAUAGAGUUGACCAACAUUUUUUGACUCGUUAAUCUAUAGAGACGACCAGUUGUUGCAAAAAGUUAAGCAGAUAGUUGGCGGGUCUACAAGUUAGGUGAGAAUUUUCGCGGGACGUCGUUUUGUCUAAGGGUGUGGAGAUGACAGAUCGUCCCAUAGGCUUCUACUCCCUUAAUCGAGAAUACAUCAUCCCCUCUCUCUUAUUCAAUCGCAACGGUUAUCACAUUUUCCUCUCUCUCGAUCGGCGAUUGGUAUAUGUCGAACACCUUCACCUUCGGCCUCCUCAGUAGCAACAACUGUCAUUGCUAACGUUGUUACCAGCGAUCUCCUUCGGUAAUUCGUGAUCGCAGUCUUCCCUUCAAUCUUCUCUCUUCUUUGAUCGAAGAUUUGUUGCUUUCUGGAUACGAAAUCGACGGCCAUUUUACCAGCCCAACUCCACAGCACAACCACCUUCACUAUCGACGAUGCUUCAAUUCCCCUGUGACAACGACUGCUUCUUCACUCUCCAACAACAUCCAAUUUCGAAAAUCAUAAAGAUUAUGACAUCAGGUACAGAUAAAGCUCUCGGGCAUGCUGGUCCAGUUCUUUCAGCAUUGAGUGAGAAUUAAUGACAUCAACUUGAGCUCUGUUAUCAACACAUUGCCAAAUACUGUGUUAUCUGAAUCUAGUGCAAAGGAAACAGAACCUCUCACAGAGGAGGAUGCUAUUGUAGAUAUAAUGGGAAGACAUGAUCAAUUCGUAUCUUCAAUGCAGUCUCGUCUAGCCAAACUACAGAUGAUUCAUAGAUGCUGGGAUAGGAAUGAUAUUAAAGCAGCAAUUAGAGCAAUGGAGAGAAUGGCUGAUCAUUCUGUGACUGCAGAUAUUGUGAGUCUUUUGACGGAAAAAAUGGACACCAUCACAUUGGAUAUUUGUUCUUGUCUACUACCUCUCCUCACAAGCCUCCUUGAAAGCGACAUGGAUAAGUACACAUUGGAUAUGAUGUAAAAGUGUAGCAUUUAAGUUAAUCUUUGGCAGUAUAUGUCCCCAAGACCACAAAACAGGUCCAGUAGUUUUUAGAUGAAUUAAUGUUCAUUCUCCAUGUAAAGUUUUUGUUUUCUAUUUUCACAUUAAAUAAAUUACCAUUACUGAUUUUCCUAAAAUACAAAGGUCGAAGAGCUCAAGUUGCAAUGUGAUCAUAAUCUGAGAAGCAUUGAGGUGAUUGAGAGGAUGCAUACACAAAUACACACACACUGAUUUCGUUUGUUCCUGUAAUUGUAUAGGUUUCUGUUGAUAAACUUGCAAUGAAGUCAGCAGAAAAGAGAGUACCUUAAGAAUUUUUAGUAGGGAUAAAUGCAAGAAAUCAUUUGUUAAACAAUCUAAGUGCUAAUUAUCAUUGUUCCUCAAACUUCAGCUCCUUCUGAGAGUCUGAAUAUCAACUUCAAAAAUCAUUUGCAAAGGAAUGAUGGUACUAUGGAAGGAGUGAUUGAGGAUGAAAAGGCUAAUAAGUAAUAUUAACAAAGUUUCUUUUUUUUGUAGGGUGGAAUUACUUCUUCAGAUGUUGCUACAAAAGCUUUAGAAGCAAAACGUGCCAGAAUAGUUGGGCAAGCAUUCACUGGUGUUCCUUUGUGGCAGUUGGGCCGUGCAAAGCAGGCAUCCGGGUGUUCCUUACAUUGUUUUUCCAGGAUGCAGAAAAGGGGUAUAAUAUUGAAGGGGUUAAAGCAGUUCAUUUGAAUUAUUCAUCCUAGUGCUCUAAAGCAAGGAGGAAACCCUUUGGUGGCAAGCUGCAUCUCUGCUGCUGAAAGCAUAUUUAACAAAAAAGCUCUACUAUUUGUUUAGAGGGACAAAAAUGAAAGUUGAAAUUUGUAUUGAUCUUCAGCUUAUCACCGUUCAUUUUGAUCAUGGUAAUUCCAAACAAGAACAUGUAAUGUUUGGGAAUCUUCCUUUAAUUUGUACUGCUUUAAAACAUGUAAUAAAAUCCUUUAGCAUUA
This is a non-coding RNA of Lactuca sativa (garden lettuce), 2560 nucleotides long. The record is from RefSeq and is a predicted model, not a curated record. Lineage: Eukaryota; Viridiplantae; Streptophyta; Magnoliopsida; Asterales; Asteraceae.